This 1380-nucleotide ribosomal RNA is filed under the name Streptomyces sp. KhCrAH-43. Its description in RNAcentral is "bacterial SSU rRNA". It matches the Rfam family "Bacterial small subunit ribosomal RNA". The record is from RNAcentral. Lineage: Bacteria; Bacillati; Actinomycetota; Actinomycetes; Kitasatosporales; Streptomycetaceae.
UCGAACGAUGAAGCCCUUUCGGGGGUGGAUUAGUGGCGAACGGGUGAGUAACACGUGGGCAAUCUGCCCUUCACUCUGGGACAAGCCCUGGAAACGGGGUCUAAUACCGGAUAAUACUUUCCUCCUCCUGGAGGAAGGUUGAAAGCUCCGGCGGUGAAGGAUGAGCCCGCGGCCUAUCAGCUAGUUGGUGGGGUAAUGGCCUACCAAGGCGACGACGGGUAGCCGGCCUGAGAGGGCGACCGGCCACACUGGGACUGAGACACGGCCCAAANUNAUACGGGAGGCAGCAGUGGGGAAUAUUGCACAAUGGGCGAAAGCCUGAUGCAGCGACGCCGCGUGAGGGAUGACGGCCUUCGGGUUGUAAACCUCUUUCAGCAGGGAAGAAGCGAAAGUGACGGUACCUGCAGAAGAAGCGCCGGCUAACUACGUGCCAGCAGCCGCGGUAAUACGUAGGGCGCAAGCGUUGUCCGGAAUUAUUGGGCGUAAAGAGCUCGUAGGCGGCUUGUCACGUCGGUUGUGAAAGCCCGGGGCUUAACCCCGGGUCUGCAGUCGAUACGGGCAGGCUAGAGUGUGGUAGGGGAGAUCGGAAUUCCUGGUGUAGCGGUGAAAUGCGCAGAUAUCAGGAGGAACACCGGUGGCGAAGGCGGAUCUCUGGGCCAUUACUGACGCUGAGGAGCGAAAGCGUGGGGAGCGAACAGGAUUAGAUACCCUGGUAGUCCACGCCGUAAACGUUGGGAACUAGGUGUUGGCGACAUUCCACGUCGUCGGUGCCGCAGCUAACGCAUUAAGUUCCCCGCCUGGGGAGUACGGCCGCAAGGCUAAAACUCAAAGGAAUUGACGGGGGCCCGCACAAGCAGCGGAGCAUGUGGCUUAAUUCGACGCAACGCGAAGAACCUUACCAAGGCUUGACAUACACCGGAAAGCAUCAGAGAUGGUGCCCCCCUUGUGGUCGGUGUACAGGUGGUGCAUGGCUGUCGUCAGCUCGUGUCGUGAGAUGUUGGGUUAAGUCCCGCAACGAGCGCAACCCUUGUUCUGUGUUGCCAGCAUGCCCUUCGGGGUGAUGGGGACUCACAGGAGACUGCCGGGGUCAACUCGGAGGAAGGUGGGGACGACGUCAAGUCAUCAUGCCCCUUAUGUCUUGGGCUGCACACGUGCUACAAUGGCNGGUACAAUGAGCUGCGAUGCCGCGAGGCGGAGCGAAUCUCAAAAAGCCGGUCUCAGUUCGGAUUGGGGUCUGCAACUCGACCCCAUGAAGUCGGAGUUGCUAGUAAUCGCAGAUCAGCAUUGCUGCGGUGAAUACGUUCCCGGGCCUUGUACACACCGCCCGUCACGUCACGAAAGUCGGUACACCCGAAGCCGGUGGCCCAACCCCUUGUGGAG